Molecule: ribosomal RNA, 478 nt
Filed under: uncultured bacterium
Lineage: Bacteria
Description: bacterial SSU rRNA
Rfam family: Bacterial small subunit ribosomal RNA
Source: RNAcentral
GAUGAACGCUGGCGGCGUGCCUAACACAUGCAAGUCGAACGAGAAGUUAACCACUGAUUCCUUCGGGAUGAGGAGGUUAGCGGAAAGUGGCGAACGGGUGAGUAACGCGUGGGUAAUCUACCCUGUAAGUGGGGGAUAACCCUCCGAAAGGAGGGCUAAUACCGCAUAAUAUCUUCACUUCUAAAAGAAGAGAAGAUUAAAGAUGGCCUCUGUCUUAAGCUAUCACUUCAGGAUGAGCCUGCGUCCUAUUAGUUAGUUGGUGGGGUAAUGGCCUACCAAGACCACAAUGGGUAGCCGGUCUGAGAGGAUGUACGGCCACACUGGGACUGAGAUACGGCCCAGACUCCUACGGGAGGCAGCAGUGGGGAAUAUUGCGCAAUGGGGGAAACCCUGACGCAGCGACGCCGCGUGGAUGAUGAAGGCCUUUGGGUUGUAAAAUCCUGUUUUGGGGGAAGAAACCUUAAGGGUCCAAUAAACC